CUACACACACGUCAAAGGGCGCCAUUUUUGUCGCAUCAGACGCUGACAGCCACCGUCCAAACGUCCAUAUUUUACGAGUUCGGACUGAGAACCGGUUGGUG
Long non-coding RNA from Etheostoma spectabile (orangethroat darter), 101 nucleotides. RefSeq lists it as uncharacterized. The record is from RefSeq and is a predicted model, not a curated record. The transcript is spliced from 3 exons. Lineage: Eukaryota; Metazoa; Chordata; Actinopteri; Perciformes; Percidae.